GCGUCGCUGGACUGCAGGGAACAUAAACACUCUGGGUUGCAGAUAACUGACGUGGCUGGCCACCUCAGCCACUGGUCUGCCCUCUGGAUCUGGGUGAUGCCAGCUCCUUGGCAACCCCGCAGGCUGCUGUGACCCUGGGCUGGGCGGGGGGAGGGGUAGAGCACCAGGUGACGUGGCAACACUGCAGUACAUGGCCAAACAGUUCUCAGAGACCUGCCGUCCUGCAGUCCUGCGGCAGAUCAGGGGCGUAACUGCAGGAAUCCUGGGAAAGAGAAGAGAGAGAGAAUACCACUGGUGCACGAUUCUAGCCAGAAAGGAAAUGCUAUAAAAUUCUGCUUCCUGGCCCGGCUCCCAGGGUGCUAAUGCUUGGAACUGUCCGGUCACCCAGACCGUUUCAAUUUUUUUUUAUCACGUGCAGUUCCUGCCUUGGUGUUCGGCUUUCUUUUGCCCCUCAGUUUCACAUGGCCCACUGAGGCCCCUACUCAUGAUUCAGACUGAAAUAGCGGCCUGCUUUGCAUGCCAGCUCAAGCUACAUUUCAGUUCUUGUUUCUCUGAAAAGACUGGGCUGUGCAGCUUGAGGGAUCUCAGUUCCUCCGACCAGGGAUUGAACUCAGACCAUGGCAGUGAAAGCCUGGAAUCCUAACCACUAGGCAUCCAGGGAACCCCCCAUUUGUAGACUUUCUGAUGAUGGACAUUCUGACAGGAGAGAGGCCUGAGAAUCUCCUGCAAUCAAGCCCUGCUAGCCUUCAAAGCCAAAUGCCCUGGGGACUCUUCCUCCUAAUGCCAGACCCCUAGGCUAGGAAGCCUAACGUGGGGCUCAUAACUCUAAUUUCCAUGGGAGAAGUUCUGCAAUAUAAUUGUUUUCCAGCUGGGCUUCCCUCGUAGCUCAGUCAGUCAAAGAUCUGCCUGCAAUGCUAGAGACCUGGGUUCAAUCCCUGGGUCAGGAA
Long non-coding RNA from Bos taurus (domestic cattle), 947 nucleotides. The record is from Ensembl. NCBI's taxonomy places the organism in Eukaryota, Metazoa, Chordata, Mammalia, Artiodactyla, Bovidae.